UACGUAGGGGGCUAGCGUUGUCCGGAUUUAUUGGGCGUAAAGAGCGUGUAGGCGGCCAUGUAGGUCCGGUGUGAAAACUCGAGGCUUAACCUCGAGACGUCGGCGGAAACCCUCUGGCUAGAGUCCGGAAGAGGAGAGUGGAAUUCCUGGUGUAGCGGUGAAAUGCGCAGAUAUCAGGAAGAACACCCGUGGCGAAGGCGGCUCUCUGGGACGGUACUGACGCUGAGACGCGAAAGCGUGGGGAGCAAACAGG
Molecule: ribosomal RNA, 253 nt
Filed under: uncultured bacterium
Lineage: Bacteria
Description: partial 16S ribosomal RNA
Rfam family: Bacterial small subunit ribosomal RNA
Source: RNAcentral